This 432-nucleotide ribosomal RNA is filed under the name uncultured bacterium. RNAcentral describes it as "partial 16S ribosomal RNA". It matches the Rfam family "Bacterial small subunit ribosomal RNA", at positions 29 to 506 of the family's 1533-position model. The record is from RNAcentral.
AACGAACGCUGGCGGCAUGCCUAACACAUGCAAGUCGAACGAGACCUUCGGGUCUAGUGGCGCACGGGUGCGUAACGCGUGGGAACCUGCCCUUAGGUUCGGAAUAACUCCCCGAAAGGGGUGCUAAUACCGGAUAAUGUCUUCGGACCAAAGAUUUAUCGCCUUUGGAUGGGCCCGCGUUGGAUUAGCUAGUUGGUAGGGUAAAAGCCUACCAAGGCGACGAUCCAUAGCUGGUCUGAGAGGAUGAUCAGCCACACUGGGACUGAGACACGGCCCAGACUCCAACGGGAGGCAGCAGUGGGGAAAAUUGGACAAGGGGCGAAAGCCUGAUCCAGCAAGGCCGGGUGAGUGAUGAAGGCCUUGGGGUUGAAAAGCUCUUUUACCCGGGAUGAAAAGGACAGUACCGGGAAAAUAAGCCCCGGCUAACUCCGU